UGGUGACAUGCUUUGUGACUCCAAGUGCAACAAUGACUAUGCCCCAGUGUGCGGCUCCAACAAUCAGAACUACCAGAACGAGUGUUUCCUGCGCAGGGAUGCCUGCAAAAAGCAGUCUGAAGUACUCAUUAUGUCAGAGGGCGCCUGUC
Molecule: long non-coding RNA, 149 nt
Organism: Notothenia coriiceps (black rockcod)
Lineage: Eukaryota; Metazoa; Chordata; Actinopteri; Perciformes; Nototheniidae
Exons: 3
Source: RefSeq, a predicted model, not a curated record